RNAcentral lists this ribosomal RNA (495 nucleotides) under uncultured bacterium. RNAcentral describes it as "partial 16S ribosomal RNA". It matches the Rfam family "Bacterial small subunit ribosomal RNA", at positions 28 to 505 of the family's 1533-position model. The record is from RNAcentral.
GAUGAACGCUGGCGGCGUGCCUAAUACAUGCAAGUCGAGCGAACAGACGAGGAGCUUGCUCCUCUGACGUUAGCGGCGGACGGGUGAGUAACACGUGGAUAACCUACCUAUAAGACUGGGAUAACUUCGGGAAACCGGAGCUAAUACCGGAUAAUAUAUUGAACCGCAUGGUUCAAUAGUGAAAGACGGUUUUGCUGUCACUUAUAGAUGGAUCCGCGCCGCAUUAGCUAGUUGGUAAGGUAACGGCUUACCAAGGCAACGAUGCGUAGCCGACCUGAGAGGGUGAUCGGCCACACUGGAACUGAGACACGGUCCAGACUCCUACGGGAGGCAGCAGUAGGGAAUCUUCCGCAAUGGGCGAAAGCCUGACGGAGCAACGCCGCGUGAGUGAUGAAGGUCUUCGGAUCGUAAAACUCUGUUAUUCGGGAAGAACAAAUGUGUAAGUAACUAUGCACGUCUUGACGGUACCUAAUCAGAAAGCCACGGCUAACUACG